CCUACGGGAGGCAGCAGUGAGGAAUAUUGGUCAAUGGGCGUGAGCCUGAACCAGCCAAGUCGCGUGAAGGAUGAAUGCCCUACGGGUUGUAAACUUCUUUUAUAAAGGAAUAAAGUGAGGCACGUGUGCUUUUUCGUAUGUACUUUAUGAAUAAGGAUCGGCUAACUCCGUGCCAGCAGCCGCGGUAAUACGGAGGAUCCGAGCGUUAUCCGGAUUUAUUGGGUUUAAAGGGGGCGUAGACGGGUUGUUAAGUCAGUUGUGAAAGUUUGCGGCUCAACCGUAAAAUUGCAAUUGAUACUGGCGGUCUUGAGUACAUUUGAGGUAGGCGGAAUGCGUGGUGUAGCGGUGAAAUGCUUAGAUAUCACGAAGAACUCCGAUUGCGAAGGCAGCUUACCAAGCUGCCACUGACAUUGAUGCACGAAAGUGUGGGUAUCAAACAGGAUUAGAUACCCGUGUAGUC
RNAcentral lists this ribosomal RNA (460 nucleotides) under uncultured bacterium. RNAcentral describes it as "partial 16S ribosomal RNA". It matches the Rfam family "Bacterial small subunit ribosomal RNA", at positions 338 to 795 of the family's 1533-position model. The record is from RNAcentral.